UCUGGAGGAGUUGGAAGGCUGAGUCUGUUUAAGCAAGGCUGCUAAGACAAUCCUCCUGGAAAAAGUCUUGCAGAGUACACUUUUAUUGGAAAACAGUACCAGGUGCUACCCAACAUUU
RNAcentral lists this small nucleolar RNA (118 nucleotides) under Echinops telfairi (small Madagascar hedgehog). RNAcentral's name for it is "Small Cajal body specific RNA 4 (ENSETEG00000026726.1)". Lineage: Eukaryota; Metazoa; Chordata; Mammalia; Afrosoricida; Tenrecidae. The record is from RNAcentral.